UGCCUUUUCUUCUAUUUGCUAAGGGAGUUGAAAUUGAAAUAGUCCUUGCUUUCUCAACUCUGGAGUCUAAAUAGAGACUCUGGUGUGGAUAGAGGAGGGUUUUAUGCUUUUUUUUCAUGCAAUUUAGGCCAACAGGACAAUGUCUAUUUAGAAAUAAACCUUUGGAGUGGGAAGUACACUAUUCUGAAAGAAAAGACCUGCAUUUUGGGCAAAGUGCUGGUCUGGGGAACAUCAUUUAAAAUUUUUAGGACAUUUCUUUCUUUGUCCAAAAUCCAAAGAAUUUAGAGUAAAAUGUUAAGUUCUUUUCUAAGUUCUAAUAUUGGUCUUUAUUCCUCAAUCAUUAUGCUGCACCCUUCUUUUCUCAGAGCCUCGCAAAUGUGGCUUUUUAAAAAUAUAUAUGCAGGUGCAAAUGUUAUAUAUUUUAGCAUCUUGAGUUCCUGAUUCUGAGCAAAGGUUUUCAAAAGUGCAAAAUAUACCUCUUUUCAACCCCCCAACCCCCCACUCUCCCAACCUUUUGUGGAGCCUCCUGUAAGAAAGCUGCAGAGUGAACAGGACUCCAGUCUCUGCUGUUUCUUUUAAAAAUAAAGUACUGAAGUGUUGUGCUGGAAAUUCUGCUACUAAGUGUCGCAUGUGGUAGGUGUGAAUAUAUGCUUCAAUAGUUCCAGGCACAAGACCAAAAUCUUCCCCAGAAUUAGCAGAGUUUUCAGCUAUAAUCUGGCUAUCAUUUUUCUACAAAUAGGUACAAAGACCAAUUUGGGACUAUGUUCUCUGUAAGGGGUACCUCAUCAAGUUUCCACUGAAAUUUAGGACCAGCCCUAGUACAGUCAGGUGAUUUGAGGAAGGAUCAGUUGUGGAGAAGAAUUAUGUUGAAGUUGAGAGUUUUCUUCUCCUGAAACAUUUAAGUCACAUGUCUGAGGUGAGGAAUCUGUUACAUCUCAAAGCAAAUUUUUUCUUCUGCAUUACACUUGAACUGUUAUCUCUGUGUAAUGGGUACAGUUGUUGUUGUUAAGGAAACUGAUUAUUGAUUUUGCAGAAGUGGAUGGAAUGUGCAACUUUUGUCCUAUAAUUGUGUCACCAUUCCACAUGCUGCAGGCAUGGGCUUCUUUUUUUGUACCAGGGAUUGAACCCAGGGGCACUUAACCACUGAACCACAUCCCUAGCCCUUUUUAUAAUUUCAUUUUGAGACAGGGCCUCACUAAAUUGCUUAGGGCCUUGCUAAGUUGCUGAGGAUGGCUUCGAACUUGGGAUCCUCCUGCUUUAGCCUCCCAAGCUGCUGGAAUUACAGGCAUGUGUCACCGCACCCAGCUGGUGGAGUCCUUAUAAGAAGACAUUAGGACAUAGACAUUAAUAGAGGGAAGACCAUGUGAAGAUAUAGGGAGAAGGCAACAUCUAUAAGCCAAGAAACCAACUCUGCCAACACCAUGAUCUCAGACUUGAGCCUUCAGAACUGUGAGAAAGUAAAUUCUCUUUCUUUAAACCACCAGGCUGUGGUAUUUUGUUUUGGCAGCCCCAGAAAACCAAUAUAUGCUACUACUAGGCAACAAUCAAUUAUAAGCUGCCAUUUGAGGAUGCAGACUCAAAGGCACCAGAUUUUCCAGAGUAAAAUCUUUUGUUUUCGAGUAUUUGCAGCAGGGUUAGCUUCAUGUGACCUGUGCAGUCAUAUAAGGUCCUGUAUAUAGAAGUGGCCCACUGUCAUUUUAAAGCUCUCUUGUCAUCAUCUUAAAAAUUUUAAAUUUUCAUUAAGGCACCCACUCACCUGGCCCUCAAACUAUAUAAGUAGUUACAAACUAUGUAACUAGUCCUAGUUGACAAAAAUUAUAAAUUUAAAAUAUUCUGCAUGUUAAGAUUAUGGUGGAGUCAGGCAUGGUGGCACAUGCCUAUAAUACCAGCUAAUAGGGAUGCUGAGGCAGGAGAAUCCCAAGUUUGAAUGAGAUCAGCCCAAACAACUUAGUGAGAGCCUGUCUCAAAAUAAAGUUUAAAAAUGGCUGUUUUUUUAUGGCUAGUUCAGCAGUAGAGUCUUUGUUUAGCAUAUGCAAAGCCCCAAAUUUAGUUUCUAGUACUGGAAAAUAAAAAAGAAGUUAAUAAAUUAUUACGGGGACCCCCAAAAAACAUGACUGGAACUAGAGGCAGCCUGGGACACUGCACUGAACUUUCUGUUGCUAACUGGAAUAAGAUCUCCCAUUCCACAAUAAUCACAAGGAGGGAAUUUAUGAAGCCCAGAGGUUUUUCUGGAGUGGAAGAAAGUCACAGAUAUUCCCCAGAUGUGAUUUCCUGAGAUUCUACAUACGCUAAUGUGGUCCUGGCCAAGAUUUUUUUCUCAGGGUUGAGCUCUGAGAACUUCACAAUAUGAAGAUCUCGAGGAAAGGCCAAACAUAAGGACCAAAGUAUUUGGGGUCGAAAGCUAUAUCCUGCCUGAAAAUGACUACUGCUGGAAGCUUUUGCAGGUUCAUCCACCCAACCCUGAGUUGGGUUUUGGGAAACUAGAGCUGAGGAUGCCAUCCCGUAUGACUAGCAACACCCUGAGGGACCAUAUGGCCUUCUCUAAAAGCAAGACAGAACGGCAAGAAACAACAGUGAGAAUGGAUGAAUUUGCCUCCCGGUUCCUGCCUGGAGUUUGUAAGCAGGACUUUUCUCCCUUGUGCUGAACCAGUCCUGGGAUUCUUAAGGCAUUCUCAGUUGGGGCCUGCAAGACACACCAAAAGACUCCCGCAAGUCGUGUAAGGGAGAAAACGAAACACUCCACUGGCCUCUAUCAGGGGAAGUUAAUUUUUCCCCUUUUCUGCACAUUUUCAAAACUCUAUAACUCUAAUUUGCAGUACAGAAAAUAAGCUUUUAUAUUUAUUAUUUUUUAUGCUUUGGAUAUAGAGUAUUCCCAAAGGAACAAUGUGUUGUGCUAAGAGUUGUGAGCCUAUUGUGGGAAAGGCUGAGAUUAAGUUACUGCAAGAAGAAGUUCAUUUACACCUGCUUGGUGAUCUAGGAGCCCCAGGUCAGAGCAGCACCUACUUUCUUCCUCCCCACCAGGAAAGAGCAGAGUUGGGGGUGGUGAUCCCAAAAUUAAGACGUUUAGAAUUCUAUAUGUAGCUUUUCUAAGUCCUAAAUGACAAUUCCCUUAAUCAUUUGGAAUAUAAGAAACUUGGCUAAAGGUUUUAGCUUAAAGCCAUUAAUUUAAAAGAAAUGAAAACAUAGGUCUACAUAGAAACUUGUACAUGGAUGUUCACAGCAGAAUUUUCACAAUAGCCAAGAAAGGAAAAGAAUUCAAAUGUCUGUUAACUAAUGAAUGCAAAAGCAUAAUGUGGUACAUCCAUAAAAUGGAAUAUGUAACUAUUCAGCAAUAAAAAGAAAUGAAAUAUUGAUACAUUCAACAACAUGGAGGAACUGUAAAACAUCGUGCUAAUAAGCAAAUUACAAAUGAACACAUGUUGUAUGAUUCUGUAAUUGCAUGAUUCCAUAAUGGAAUUGUACAACAUGUAUUUGUGAUUAGUAUACAUAUCUAUAGAAACAGAAAGCAGACUAGUGGUUGGCUAGGUCUUGGGAAGAAAUAGGGGACAUUGGAGAGUGACAGCAAAGUGGUGCAGAGUUUCUUUGUGGGAUGAUAGAAAUGUUCUAAAAUUAAUUGAGGUGGCAGUUGUAUCACUUGGUGAAUGCAUUCAAAACCACUGAGUCUUGCUGUAAGAGUGAGUCCUAUGAUGUGUGAAUUAUAUCUCAAUAAAGACAUGAAAAGAUUUUUUAAAAAAUGAUACUUAAAAAAAAUAUCCACUGGUUUAUCUCUCUUUCUGAAGCUGAUCACUUUAGAAAAUGUGUUCAAAAUAAAAACAGAUUUUUAUGGGAUAACUGAAAUCAGAAUGUGAAAAAGUGAUUUUUUUCUUAGGUGGGAAGAUUAAUUUGCAUGUCCAUGUGUACUCAAAAUACCUGUACCUGUAAUUCUUUUGAACUUUGCUGAAAAUUUUUUCCUUAGCCUGCAAUCAUUAAAAUAUGUUUAAGCAAUCAUA
Marmota monax (woodchuck) is the source of this 3989-nucleotide long non-coding RNA. RefSeq lists it as uncharacterized. The transcript has 2 exons. Lineage: Eukaryota; Metazoa; Chordata; Mammalia; Rodentia; Sciuridae. The record is from RefSeq and is a predicted model, not a curated record.